RNAcentral lists this ribosomal RNA (258 nucleotides) under uncultured bacterium. RNAcentral describes it as "partial 16S ribosomal RNA". It matches the Rfam family "Bacterial small subunit ribosomal RNA", at positions 96 to 354 of the family's 1533-position model. The record is from RNAcentral.
UGGCGGACGGGUGAGUAACGCGUGGAAAACCUGCCGUAUACUGGGGAAUAACACUUAGAAAUAGGUGCUAAUACCGCAUAAGCGCACAGCUUCGCAUGAAGCGGUGUGAAAAACUCUGGUGGUAUACGAUGGUUCCGCGUCUGAUUAGCUAGUUGGUGGGGUAAUGGCCUACCAAGGCAACGAUCAGUAGCCGGCCUGAGAGGGUGAACGGCCACAUUGGGACUGAGACACGGCCCAAACUCCUACGGAAGGCAGCAG